Molecule: non-coding RNA, 257 nt
Organism: Pelobates cultripes (western spadefoot toad)
Lineage: Eukaryota; Metazoa; Chordata; Amphibia; Anura; Pelobatidae
Source: the annotation of a GenBank genome assembly
UGAAAGCAGGGUACAGCGUUAACCUCUAAGACAUUAUUAGGAUGUGUUCUAUGUGUGCUCACCUUAAAGACUUCUAGGGCUGCACUGUUCCUAUGGAACGGCCUUACCCUCUCUGUUCGACUCUCACCCAAUCUCCACUCCUUCAAAAAAUCUUUGAAAACGUAUUUCUACAGGAGAGCUUAUCAAUUAAACUGUGAACCGCUUUCCCUCCCCGUACCCUGACUCCUCUCCUGAAACUGUCAUCAAAACAAAACACU